GGCGCUAUCGUCUAGGGGACAAGGACAGGUGGUUCUCAGCCAUCAGACCGGGGUUCGAAUCCCCGUAGCGCCAUCA
Molecule: transfer RNA, 76 nt
Filed under: Candidatus Aerophobota bacterium
Lineage: Bacteria; Candidatus Aerophobota
Description: Candidatus Aerophobetes bacterium tRNA-Glu
Rfam family: tRNA
About the family: Transfer RNA (tRNA) molecules are approximately 80 nucleotides in length. Their secondary structure includes four short double-helical elements and three loops (D, anti-codon, and T loops).
Source: RNAcentral